UAGGGAAUCUUCCGCAAUGGACGCAAGUCUGACGGAGCAACGCCGCGUGAGUGAAGAAGGAUUUCGGUUCGUAAAACUCUGUUGUUAGAGAAGAACAGCGCAUAGAGUAACUGUUAUGCGUGUGACGGUAUCUAACCAGAAAGCCACGGCUAACUACGUGCCAGCAGCCGCGGUAAUACGUAGGUGGCAAGCGUCGUCCGGAUUUAUUGGGCGUAAAGCGAGCGCAGGCGGUCAAUUAAGUCUGAUGUGAAAGCCCCCGGCUCAACCGGGGAGGGUCAUUGGAAACUGGUUGACUUGAGUGCAGAAGAGGAGAGUGGAAUUCCAUGUGUAGCGGUGAAAUGCGUAGAUAUAUGGAGGAACACCAGUGGCGAAGGCGACUCUCUGGUCUGUAACUGACGCUGAGGCUCGAAAGCGUGGGUAGCAAACAGG
This 429-nucleotide ribosomal RNA is filed under the name Bacteroidota bacterium. RNAcentral's name for it is "Bacteroidetes bacterium partial 16S ribosomal RNA". It matches the Rfam family "Bacterial small subunit ribosomal RNA", at positions 355 to 776 of the family's 1533-position model. The record is from RNAcentral. Lineage: Bacteria; Pseudomonadati; Bacteroidota.